Molecule: unclassified non-coding RNA, 333 nt
Filed under: soil metagenome
Description: partial contains 5.8S ribosomal RNA, internal transcribed spacer 2, and large subunit ribosomal RNA
Rfam family: 5.8S ribosomal RNA (bases 1-120)
Source: RNAcentral
GAUGAAGAACGCAGCGAAAUGCGAUAAGUAGUGUGAAUUGCAGAAUUCAGUGAAUCAUCGAAUCUUUGAACGCACAUUGCGCCCUUUGGUAUUCCUUAGGGCAUGCCUGUUCGAGCGUCAUUUAAACCUUCAAGCUAAGCUUGGUGUUGGGUGACUGUCCGCUUCACUGCGGACUCGCCUCAAAAUUAUUGGCGGCCGGUACAUUGGCUUCGAGCGCAGCAGAAACGCGAACUCGGGCCCGUCGUAUUGGCUCCCAGAAGCUAUCUUCACAAUUUUGACCUCGGAUCAGGUAGGGAUACCCGCUGAACUUAAGCAUAUCAAUAAGCGGAGGAA